RNAcentral lists this ribosomal RNA (462 nucleotides) under uncultured bacterium. RNAcentral describes it as "partial 16S ribosomal RNA". It matches the Rfam family "Bacterial small subunit ribosomal RNA", at positions 339 to 795 of the family's 1533-position model. The record is from RNAcentral.
CUACGGGACUGCAGUGGGGAAUAUUGCACAAUGGGCGCAAGCCUGAUGCAGCCAUGCCGCGUGUAUGAAGAAGGCCUUCGGGUUGUAAAGUACUUUCGGCGGGGAGGAAGGGAGUAAAGUUAAUACCUUUGCUCAUUGACGUUACCCGCAGAAGAAGCACCGGCUAACUCCGUGCCAGCAGCCGCGGUAAUACGGAGGGUGCAAGCGUUAAUCGGAAUUACUGGGCGUAAAGCGCACGCAGGCGGUUUGUUAAGUCAGAUGUGAAAUCCCCGGGCUCAACCUGGGAACUGCAUCUGAUACUGGCAAGCUUGAGUCUCGUAGAGGGGGGUAGAAUUCCAGGUGUAGCGGUGAAAUGCGUAGAGAUCUGGAGGAAUACCGGUGGCGAAGGCGGCCCCCUGGACGAAGACUGACGCUCAGGUGCGAAAGCGUGGGGAGCAAACAGGAUUAGAUACCCUUGUAGUC